CCCUUAGAUGUUCUGGGCUGCACGCGUGCUACAAUGAAGCGUCCAACAAGAUGCGAAGCCGAAAGGCUCAGCGGAUCUUUGAAGUCGUUUCGUGACCGGGACAGUUGAUUGCAAUUAUUCGACUCGAACGAGGAAUUCCUUGUAAUCGCGAUUCAUCAUAUCGCGCUGAAUACGUCCCUGCCCUUUGUACACACCGCCCGUCGCUCCUACCGAUUGAGCGAUCCGGUGAAUUAUUUGGAGUGUCCACGCAAGCCAAUCCGUUUACGUGGGUGCGAAAUUUUGUAAACCUUAUCGCUUAGAGGAAGGAGAANUCGUANCA
RNAcentral lists this ribosomal RNA (319 nucleotides) under uncultured eukaryote. RNAcentral describes it as "partial 18S ribosomal RNA". It matches the Rfam family "Eukaryotic small subunit ribosomal RNA", at positions 1470 to 1796 of the family's 1831-position model. The record is from RNAcentral.